UACAGAGGUCCCAAGUGUUGUUCGGAUUCACUGGGCGUAAAGGGUGCGUAGGUGGUGAGGUAAGUCGGAUGUGAAAGCUCGGAGCUCAACUCCGAAAUGGCAUUGGAAACUACCUUGCUCGAGGGUUGGAGGGGGGACUGGAAUACUUCGUGUAGCAGUGAAAUGCGUAGAUAUCAAGUGGAACACCAGUGGCGAAGGCGAGUCCCUGGACAACUCCUGACACUGAGGCACGAAAGCUAGGGGAGCAAACAGG
Molecule: ribosomal RNA, 253 nt
Filed under: uncultured bacterium
Lineage: Bacteria
Description: partial 16S ribosomal RNA
Rfam family: Bacterial small subunit ribosomal RNA
Source: RNAcentral